AAAGCCUGGUUUUGGAGAUGACCAGCACAGAGACAUCUUUAGGUCCACAGCUAAGAAACGAUUGCCAUGUUCCUAUGGCAUAUAACGUCGAGAGUAUGCCCUCUACACCGUGCUGAACACUCCAUUUAAUUUCCCUCAGAUUAGCUUUUCUGUUUUCUUCAUUAAAAGCUUGACAUUCCUGCGAUCAGAUUGGUGAGCAGUUUGAGACAGAGAGGCAAGGCAGUGGCCAAAAGAAGUCAAAGUGGCAUUACACUUUUCCCCAAGCAUUCUGCUAAGUCAGCACCUGUGCCGGUAUACAUUGAAGAUCAGGAG
Sinocyclocheilus rhinocerous is the source of this 312-nucleotide long non-coding RNA. RefSeq lists it as uncharacterized. NCBI's taxonomy places the organism in Eukaryota, Metazoa, Chordata, Actinopteri, Cypriniformes, Cyprinidae. The transcript is spliced from 3 exons. The record is from RefSeq and is a predicted model, not a curated record.